Equus asinus (donkey) is the source of this 1652-nucleotide long non-coding RNA. The record is from Ensembl. Lineage: Eukaryota; Metazoa; Chordata; Mammalia; Perissodactyla; Equidae.
AUCUUUACAGUUUUACCAUUUCAAGAAUCCCAUAUAAAUGGAAUCAUAUGUACGUAACCUUCUGAGACUGGCUCUUUUGCACUAAUGCCCUUUAGAUCAUCCAACUGUGUACAUAUCAAUAGUUUGUUUUUGGUUGCUGAGUAAUAGUCCAUGUAUGCGGGACACCUAGUCAGUGUCGACUGAGAAUUGGAGAAUCUCUUGGUGGUGUAGAAAAAAAUACGUCAUGGAGUUGUGUUCACCAGUGCUCAACUACCAUCCUUGGAAGCCCUGCCACUCAACUUAUUUCCGUUAUUCCAUAAACAUUCAAGUGCCCACCAUGAGCCAAGAACUUUUCUAUGCACUAGAGCGACAAGAGCAUUCACACUCCCCCCGCGGAGCUCACAGCCUGCAGAAGGAGCCAGCCGGGAAGCAGAAGACACGGCAUGGCGUCAUAAACCUAUGACAGAGCCUGUCCUGGUGGCACUGUGGGAAGCAUGACCCGGAUGUGGGGCAGGCAAAUGGCUCUCAGGGACGCUUCCCAAAGGGGCACACCCAAUCAAGAUGGCCUCAUCUCCAGAUUCUGUACUUCCUUAUGUCUGCAAAGACCCUUUUGUCAAACGACGUCAGAACACUCCAAAUAUCUUGCUAUUGAUCAAUUGUCACAAGAUUGGCAAAUCAUUUUUCACGUCAUUUCAAGACUCUUUUAAUAACAGUCCCAAAUGCCAAAGUGCCUUUACCAAUUCACAUUAUCAUCACCCUGGAAAGAUCGUCUCUCCCCACAGUUUUCAGGCAGCAGAGAUGUACAGACCCAGAAGUGGAGAGGUAACCUCAGUCGUUUCACAGCACGCUUGCAGACCAGAAAGCAAAGCUUCGGAAUUCUGGACGCACGUUUAAGUGAUGUUACUGCAGACCCUGACGCCAUUCACAUUGGUGAGAUAUUGAGAUUUCCACAGGUGACUUUGUGGACACACGGGGCACUCCAGCCAUGAGGACUUGGGCUGUUGUGUUCGUAUCAGCAGAAGCGGUCUGAGUUCCACCUCUGAAGGACAACAUGAAGGUUACUGACCAUCGUAUCAUGGCAUCUAGAGUUCUACCGUUCAGGAAGCCUCCGUGGACGUCAAAGACUUGUAGGCUUCCGAGAGUCCCCUCUAAAUGACGGAUGCCAUUGCCCUCCGUGAUGAGCCCUCACGUGGCUCGCUGCCUGGAAAGGAGUGGAUAGAGACCUCACGGCUGCGCUGGGCCGCAGGAGAGAGGUGGGGCAGGAGAAGGAGACGGAGCCCAAGACCAGCUUCCUGUUUCACACGCUUUCCAGGUUUGGCCUUAAGUACUGGCUGGAGGGGCAGACACCCAGCCCCACUCCACCAUGCCACGCACCUGACGGCAACACUCCAAUCACCCCUAAGGCUCAGAGAGCAGACACAGUCCCUGGGCCCUCCUGGGCCUUGGCUGCUACCAGCCUCAGAGCAGCCAGAAGCAAACCUGCCAGGCAGUCUCAGCUUGCUUUACUGAGGAGGUUCAUGCUGAACAGAAAAAGCGUCAAUAACAACUGUGUUUGAGCCCCUGUUAUAUUCCUGGCCCGACCACAGGGUCUAUGACGUCACCACUUCUGGACAUCCAAAGCCACCAUUUUAAGCAUCCGAGACUUGAUGGUGUGCCCCUGGCAUACAGCUUGG